ACUUGAGAUGACUGACAGUUGCAAACAGCCCCGUGGGGGCCGAGAAGAGAGCACAGAGAAAUAUGAACAAAAAGAUUGUGAGGAGGGCUCUAAGCUCUAGAGCCGAGUUAAGAAACAUUGAGUCUCGGGGUGAAAUGGGACAGCGAAUCUUUCCAUAAUCCCUGUGGGACAACUUUGAGAAUAUGACGUCAGAGAAUAGGGAUGGAGUUAAUUAUGUAUCAUAAGAAUUAAAAAGCGAAGAGUAAUGUUUUACAUACUUUAAGCAAAUAUGUCUAUGUUCCUUAACUAAUAAGGUGAUGUAUUAUGUUUCCAUGUAUGGAUGUCUCAAACUUUGUCCAUUUUCCUGAAGAGGAAGAUUUAUUUUAUUUCCAUACAACGAGGUCGUAACAGAUGCCUUAUGCACGCUUCCUUAUACACAUAUGUGAGUUUCUCUAGGGUUUUUCAAAAUUGUGUUCUAUUAACAUUUUCUGAAAACAAUACAGAUAAGUGUAGAAAGUAAUGAAACAGAAAACAUGAACGUUAAUAUCGUUUAACAAAUCUCUCAAGAAAUUUCCGUCAUGAGACACAGUAGAGAAUUUUCUCUCAGGUUUCACAGUCAAGAAACACUCUACUUCUGAACAUUUUUUUCUGUGCGCCUUGCAGUAAUUGGAGUGUGCUUUGUGCCUUAGCCGCUAAGAUGCUUGGCCCCCAGUUUGUAGCCCACACUGGGAGCUCUAUAGCACUGUGUGGCAGGUAGUCUGUUCCAGUCCCUCACUGGCUUAAUUCUUUCUCCUCAGCUUUGUCACUUCAACUACCCUGUGUGUGUGUGUAUGUGUGUACUUCCU
This 824-nucleotide long non-coding RNA is filed under the name Equus caballus (horse). Its description in RNAcentral is "lncRNA (ENSECAG00000056003.1)". Lineage: Eukaryota; Metazoa; Chordata; Mammalia; Perissodactyla; Equidae. The record is from RNAcentral.